AGAAUCUUUCGCAAUGGACGAAAGUCUGACGAAGCGACGCCGUGUGAACGAAGAAGGCCUUCGGGUUGGAAAGUUCUUUCGCCUGGGAACAAGAGAAGAGGGAUAAUACCCCUCUGAUUCGAGGGUCCCAAGUAAAGAAGCACCGGCUAACUCAGUGCCAGCAGCUGCGGUAAUACGGAGGGUGCAAGCAUUAAUCGGAAUUAUUGGGCGUAAAGGGCGCGUAGGCGGACUUGUAAGUCAGAUGUGAAAUAUCGAGGCUCAACCUCGAUGCUGCAUUUGAAACUACAAGUCUAGAGGAUAGACGGAGAAAACGGAAUUCCACGUGUAGCGGUGAAAUGCGUGGAUAUGUGGAAGAACACCUGUGGCGAAAGCGGUUUUCUAGUUUAUUCCUGACGCUGAGGCGCGAGAGCAAGGGGAGCAAAC
RNAcentral lists this ribosomal RNA (423 nucleotides) under uncultured bacterium. RNAcentral's name for it is "bacterial SSU rRNA". It matches the Rfam family "Bacterial small subunit ribosomal RNA", at positions 358 to 773 of the family's 1533-position model. The record is from RNAcentral.